This 540-nucleotide ribosomal RNA is filed under the name uncultured Geobacteraceae bacterium. Its description in RNAcentral is "bacterial SSU rRNA". It matches the Rfam family "Bacterial small subunit ribosomal RNA", at positions 9 to 526 of the family's 1533-position model. The record is from RNAcentral. Lineage: Bacteria; Pseudomonadati; Thermodesulfobacteriota; Desulfuromonadia; Geobacterales; Geobacteraceae.
GAGUUUGAUCCUGGCUCAGAACGAACGCUGGCGGCGUGCCUAACACAUGCAAGUCGAACGUGAUCCAGAGCUUGCUCUGGUGAAAGUGGCGCACGGGUGAGUAACGCGUGGAUAACCUACCCUGGUAUCCGGGAUAACAUUCCGAAAGGGGUGCUAAUACCGGAUAAGCCCACGGGCUCUUUGGAGCUUGCGGGAAAAGGUGGCCUCUAUUUAUAAGCUACUGUAUCAGGAUGGGUCCGCGUACCAUUAGCUAGUUGGCGGUGUAACGGACCACCAAGGCGACGAUGGUUAGCUGGUCUGAGAGGAUGAUCAGCCACACUGGAACUGAGACACGGUCCAGACUCCUACGGGAGGCAGCAGUGGGGAAUUUUGCGCAAUGGGGGAAACCCUGACGCAGCAACGCCGCGUGAGUGAUGAAGGCCUUUGGGUCGUAAAGCUCUGUCAGAGGGGAAGAAAUGAUAUAGUGCUAAUACCACAUUAUCUUGACGGUACCCUCAAAGGAAGCACCGGCUAACUCCGUGCCAGCAGCCGCGGUAAUAC